Callithrix jacchus (white-tufted-ear marmoset) is the source of this 2157-nucleotide long non-coding RNA. The record is from Ensembl. Lineage: Eukaryota; Metazoa; Chordata; Mammalia; Primates; Cebidae.
UACAGAUUUUCCAAACACUUUAACAGCCCCUAAACUGGGCUUUAGACUUCUUUAGCUUGGCCUGUUGGCAUUUCUCUGUCUUUAUACUUCUUGAAGCAGGGAUAAACUGCUUGCUUAUUUGAAAACAAAAGCAUGUAAACUAUAGGCCACCGAUAGUGCCCAUGUUGAAGAAUCUCACUCCUAAGCUACAGUCAGAAGAGUAUUAGAAAGAAAAACAAGAACAGGAGGCAAGUCCACAACGAUGUAGGAACUUCUCAUAAACCACUUAUCACUUUGGCAAAUAAUGCUAAUUACUCUGCAAGCUUUCUCUAUAGCCCUAGGGCACGGUGUGAGACUUUUGAUUUGCCCGAGUGCUACUUUCAGAGGUUCAAGCCACAGAAUGGAUCUUCAAUUCAAUGCCUGCAUUCAUGUAUGCAGCCCUCCCUAGUGUCAAGCUUUCCCUGGUCUUUACACUAGAGCACCUGCCAACUCUUCUAUAGGCAAGUCAUGGGGUCGUCAUAGGGGAGCAAUGUUUCCCCAAAUGUAUGCUUUUCUUUCAGAUAAUUCUCCCAGAACACUCCACUGACCCUUUUUGCCUUAGUGAUGGAAGAACGUUUUUAGGUGAGCUGGUGCAUUUUACAUAAUGUGUUCCCAGAUGCUUUCCAUGAAUGAUUCAGGCCAGGGUAAGCUGCAUAGAAUUCUGGUGCCGUGGCCGGAAGAAAGCCGCACUCUGUUUAAGCAUGAGUGUUGUGUUGUGAGCAGGCUGAGUAAUGAAGUUCUGUGGCUGACUAGUCCAAGGAGAAGCUGAUGCUGAUCAAAGAACACCUGAUACAGCUGCAAACUGCCAGCUAGUAAAUCUAUAUGGAAAUUUACAAUCUACAUGGGGAAUACUUUUGUGAAUCUGAAUUUUGGGGGAGGAGAUGAAAGUUUUCAUGUAUUAUUUUUUAUUUGUGUGAGUACAUGUGGAAGCCACACACCUGCUACAGAUGUUGCUCAAGGAAACACAUAAAUUUGGCUUAUAACAGGCUGAAAUAUUUUAAAUGUGAAAAGUGUACAAAAGAGUAGAACAGAAUCCUCAAAGACCAUACUAGGCACAUCAUCGUGAAAAGGAACUACACGGAUUUCUGCUGCUUUGGCAUAUCCCAACAUCAUGGCCAGCUGACUCUAACCAUAAAAGGCUUCCUGUAGAAGAGAAGAAAGGGGCAAAACAGAUUCACAAGAGGACUGGAAGGAGAGAUUUUAACACUUAGGAGGUGGAAGAGACUAAUGAGAUAGACACCAAGCCAUAAGAAUAAUAAUUUCCAAAAGUACCCUGGCUAGCCUCAACCUUGUUCGAAAUGUACUUGUACACAAUUACUUUGUGUAAUACUUUGAAGUUUUUGGAGGGCUUCUUCUCAAGCAGUGAUUCUCAAAUUGUAAUGUGUAUCAGAAUUGCCCAAAGAGUUUGCUAAAACACAGGUUUCAACUCAGUAGGUCUAUGAAGGGCCUGAGAAUGUGUAUGUUUAACAAGUCAGAAAUGCUGUUUGUUUGAGAUCCACACAUUGAGAACAACUUAGUUAAGAUUUUUGAAGUUAAAUUUUUUGUGUAUUUUUUUAUAUUUUCCACUUUUCAUUUUUGCUGAUACACACACACACACACACACACACACACACAUACACACGCACACACAUGGCCCUCCGACAAGACCUAGAAUUUGCUUCAGAGUCCAGGAAUCAUGAGAUUACUGCUGACUGAAGACAGCUAGAAUAACACCAGGUUUAGUACCUCUCAUGCUGACCCCACAAGACACUUACAACAUUAGAGGAACAGAGGAGGAAGUUCUGCAAGUGUAACUUUUGUUUUUUAUUUGCCAAACAGAGGAACGAGAAUCUCUUGGAAUUCUAGCUAGAAGGUAUGUAUUAUACUAGGAAGGAAAUAAGGAUAAAAAAGAAUCAUAAGCUAUGGCCAAAUAUUAGUUUGUUAAUAGUUUUACAGAAUAUCAUGCACCUCUAACAGAGAAGUUUGAAUGCAUGAAGUCCUGAACAUAAAGCUGACUAGCAAUAUAUAAGAAUUAGACCGGAGGCAUAAGUUUAUAAUAUAUAAAAAUAAGUUAUGAGACAAGUCCACAUUAUGUUAAGAAGAAUCAUUAAUUUUAUCAAAGACAGCUGAAGUUGGACUAGCUGAGAAAAUAGUAUGUAU